AACCUAGACCCCAACGACGGGCAACAGACCCCACCACAAAGAUAAGGAAUUCUCUAUUCAAACGGACAGAGUCGCUCCUGUAUUUGCAUAGCGUAGUACAUAGUACUAGUGACAACCAUAACAUACCACUCAAACUAAUACAAUACACGAUUCACACAAAUUAUCAUUUCACAAGUUUUCACAUAUAUUCCUACUAGUUAAAAGCGUCUCCCACACGAAGGCUUCACUUUGAAACUCUAAAUUUUCAAAAAUCCACAAAAAGCCUAAAAACUAUUUUGAAAACUGUUUUCCAUACGAAAAACUUCGUUUUGAAAACACUACCACAAUGGGUAGAAAAUCACAUUUUAAUAUUUGCAAAAACCACGA
This 366-nucleotide long non-coding RNA is filed under the name Ananas comosus (pineapple). Its description in RNAcentral is "long non-coding RNA (ACOM_LNC029587)". Lineage: Eukaryota; Viridiplantae; Streptophyta; Magnoliopsida; Poales; Bromeliaceae. The record is from RNAcentral.